AACGUUCACGAUAGGGUUUUCUAUGAACCUGAUUGGUCAACCAUCUCCCUAGAUAUCUAGUGAGACUGUCACCUUAUCUGUUUUUCUGCAGUCUCCGUUACCAAGUUGUACAUAAUCACAUAAACAAUAAACAUGCACCCGGUAAUACAAUCAUAUUGUAAAUUCUAAAAUCACACAGUGAUCAAGUAAGACAGUAAUACAUGC
This 204-nucleotide long non-coding RNA is filed under the name Carica papaya (papaya). RNAcentral describes it as "long non-coding RNA (CPAP_LNC004535)". The record is from RNAcentral. Lineage: Eukaryota; Viridiplantae; Streptophyta; Magnoliopsida; Brassicales; Caricaceae.